CCCAGGAGGGGGAUCAACGGCUCGGAAACGGCCGCUAAUACCCCAUAUGCCGAGAGGUGAAAUGAGUUUUCGCCUUGGGAUGAGCUCGCGUCUGAUUAGCUAGUUGGUGGGGUAAUGGCUUACCAAGGCAUCGAUCAGUAGCUGGUCUGAGAGGAUGAUCAGCCACACUGGGACUGAGACACGGCCCAGACUCCUACGGGAGGCAGCAGUGGGGAAUUUUCCGCAAUGGGCGAAAGCCUGACGGAGCAACGCCGCGUGAGGGAUGAAGGCCUCUGGGCUGUAAACCUCUUUUCUCAAGGAAGAAGAACUGACGGUACUUGAGGAAUAAGCCACGGCUAAUUCCGUGCCAGCAGCCGCGGUAAUACGGGAGUGGCAAGCGUUAUCCGGAAUUAUUGGGCGUAAAGCGUCCGCAGGCGGCCUUUUAAGUCUGUUGUCAAAGCGUGGAGCUUAACUCCAUUUGAGCAAUGGAAACUGGGAGGCUUGAGUGUGGUAGGGGCAGAGGGAAUUCCGGUGUAGCGGUGAAAUGCGUAGAUAUCGGGAAGAACACCAGUGGCGAAGGCGCUCUGCUUGGCCAUACUGACCUCAUUGGACCAAAGCCAGGGAGCCAAAGGGAUUAGAUCCUUGUAGUUAA
Molecule: ribosomal RNA, 631 nt
Filed under: Synechococcus sp. AB4192
Lineage: Bacteria; Bacillati; Cyanobacteriota; Cyanophyceae; Synechococcales; Synechococcaceae
Description: bacterial SSU rRNA
Rfam family: Bacterial small subunit ribosomal RNA
Source: RNAcentral